UACGUAGGGUGCGAGCGUUGUCCGGAAUUAUUGGGCGUAAAGAGCUUGUAGGCGGUUUGUCGCGUCUGCUGUGAAAAUCCGGGGCUCAACCCCGGACUUGCAGUGGGUACGGGCAGACUAGAGUCCGGUAGGGGAGUGUGGAAUUCCCGGUGUAGCGGUGAAAUGCGCAGAUAUCGGGAGGAACACCAGUAGCGAAGGCGACACUCUGGGCCGGUACUGACGCUGAGGAGCGAAAGCGUGGGGAGCAAACAGG
Molecule: ribosomal RNA, 253 nt
Filed under: uncultured bacterium
Lineage: Bacteria
Description: partial 16S ribosomal RNA
Rfam family: Bacterial small subunit ribosomal RNA
Source: RNAcentral